This 497-nucleotide ribosomal RNA is filed under the name uncultured bacterium. Its description in RNAcentral is "partial 16S ribosomal RNA". It matches the Rfam family "Bacterial small subunit ribosomal RNA", at positions 28 to 507 of the family's 1533-position model. The record is from RNAcentral.
GAUGAACGCUGGCGGCGUGCCUAAUACAUGCAAGUCGAGCGAAAAGACGAGGAGCUUGCUCCUCUGACGUUAGCGGCGGACGGGGGAGUAACAUGUGGAUAACCCACCUAUAAGACUGGGAUAACCUCGGGAAACCGGUGCCAAUACCGGCUAAUAUAUUCAACCGCAUGGAUCAAUAGUGAAAGACGGCUUUGCUGCCACUUAUAGAUGGAUCCGUGAGGGAUUAGCUAGUUGGUGAGGUAACGGCUUACCAAGGCGACGAUGCGUAGCCGACCUGAGAGGAUGAUCAGCCACACUGGAACUGAGACACGGUCCAGACUCCUACGGGAGGCAGCAGUGGGGAAUCUUGCACAAUGGGCGAAAGCCUGACGGAGCAACGCCGCGUGUGUGAUGAAGGUCUUCGGGUCGUAAAGCUCUGUUAUUAGGGAAGAACAAAUGUAUGAGUAACUCUGCACGCCUUGACGGUACCUAAUCAGGAAGCCACGGCUAACUACGUG